GCCCUUACGACCAGGGCUACACACGUGCUACAAUGGCAUAUACAAAGAGAAGCGACCUCGCGAGAGCAAGCGGACCUCAUAAAGUAUGUCGUAGUCCGGAUUGGAGUCUGCAACUCGACUCCAUGAAGUCGGAAUCGCUAGUAAUCGUAGAUCAGAAUGCUACGGUGAAUACGUUCCCGGGCCUUGUACACACCGCCCGUCACACCAUGGGAGUGGGUUGCAAAAGAAGUAGGUAGCUUAACCUUCGGGAGGGCGCUUACCACUUUGUGAUUCAUGACUGGGGUGAAGUCGUAACAAGGUAACCGUAGGGGAACCUGCGGUUGGAUCACCUCCUUACCUUAAAGAA
This 346-nucleotide ribosomal RNA is filed under the name Klebsiella pneumoniae. RNAcentral's name for it is "bacterial SSU rRNA". It matches the Rfam family "Bacterial small subunit ribosomal RNA", at positions 1198 to 1533 of the family's 1533-position model. Lineage: Bacteria; Pseudomonadati; Pseudomonadota; Gammaproteobacteria; Enterobacterales; Enterobacteriaceae. The record is from RNAcentral. RNAcentral also lists the same sequence under 1 other name.